AGGACGAACGCUGGCGGCGUGCUUAACACAUGCAAGUCGAACGGUAAGGCCUUUCGGGGUACACGAGUGGCGAACGGGUGAGUAACACGUGGGUGAUCUGCCCUACACUUUGGGAUAAGCCUGGGAAACUGGGUCUAAUACCGAAUAUGACCAUUGGUUGCAUGACUGGUGGUGGAAAGCUUUUGCGGUGUGGGAUGGGCCCGCGGCCUAUCAGCUUGUUGGUGGGGUUAAGGCCUACCAAGGCGACGACGGGUAGCCGGCCUGAGAGGGUGUCCGGCCACACUGGGACUGAGAUACGGCCCAGACUCCUACGGGAGGCAGCAGUGGGGAAUAUUGCACAAUGGGCGCAAGCCUGAUGCAGCGACGCCGCGUGAGGGACGACGGCCUUCGGGUUGUAAACCUCUUUCAGUAGGGACGAAGCGCAAGUGACGGUACCUACAGAAGAAGGACCGGCCAACUACGCGCCAGCAGCCGC
RNAcentral lists this ribosomal RNA (475 nucleotides) under uncultured bacterium. RNAcentral describes it as "SSU rRNA". It matches the Rfam family "Bacterial small subunit ribosomal RNA", at positions 26 to 518 of the family's 1533-position model. The record is from RNAcentral.